CGGCGCGCCUAACAAUGCAAGUCGCACGAGAAAGUGGAGCAAUCCAUGAGUACAGUGGCGUACGGGUGAGUAACACGUGGAUCAUCUGCCCUGGAGUGGGGAAUAACGCUGGGAAACCGGCGCUAAUACCGCAUAUUCCCGAGAGGGGAAAGCAGCAAUGCGCUCGAGGAGGAGUCCGCGGCCGAUUAGCUAGUUGGCAGGGUAAAAGCCUACCAAGGCUGUGAUCGGUAGCCGGCCUGAGAGGGCACACGGCCACACUGGCACUGAAACACGGGCCAGACUCCUACGGGAGGCAGCAGUGGGGAAUCUUGCACAAUGGGGGAAACCCUGAUGCAGCGACGCCGCGUGAGCGAUGAAGCCCUUCGGGGCGUAAAGCUCUUUCGGCAGGGACGAUUAUGACGGUACCUGCAGAAGCAGCUGCGGCUAACUACGUGC
RNAcentral lists this ribosomal RNA (435 nucleotides) under uncultured bacterium. RNAcentral's name for it is "bacterial SSU rRNA". It matches the Rfam family "Bacterial small subunit ribosomal RNA", at positions 40 to 508 of the family's 1533-position model. The record is from RNAcentral.